RNAcentral lists this transfer RNA (58 nucleotides) under Dipodomys ordii (Ord's kangaroo rat). It matches the Rfam family "tRNA", at positions 8 to 63 of the family's 71-position model. Rfam says of the family: Transfer RNA (tRNA) molecules are approximately 80 nucleotides in length. The record is from Rfam by way of RNAcentral. Lineage: Eukaryota; Metazoa; Chordata; Mammalia; Rodentia; Heteromyidae.
UAGCUCAAGUGGUAGGGCACCUGCCUAGCAAGCAUGAAGUCCUGAGUUCAAUCCUCAG